UAGAGAGGGUUUAGUUCCAAUACUUGUGAUAUGCCUGUUUAGAACACAGUAAUAUAUAUACACAUUAAAAAAGAAAGUUGACAUCGAAACCCUGUGCUAGAAAGAUGCUUUCAGGAAGGGAAUCCCAGUUUAACUUCGGUCACAUGGACAGAGAAGAACCUGCAGUAGAUACACUAACCUUUAAAGUCAAUCUUCUCAAAUUAGAAUAAUAAAAGGUUAAGAAUGGUCUUUAUCCAUGUGAUUGUUGAAUCAGCCUGGACGACAUAGAUAAAUGUUAUGUUAGUGCCAGAAAUUGCUGUAGUCUGUGUUUGUUUGGUGCAGCUUUGUCACCCUCUAGUGUUCGUAUCCAAGAAGUUGGUGAGACUGCUGUUACUCCCAAUAAAUUUUUAGCUGUAUGGAUCAGUUCAGAGUUUUUUAAGGAGGAAUAAUUUUGAGAAAAGAAGCUGAUUGCUGGCAAGUCAUUUGCCAGCAGUAGCAUAAGAAAUUUUUAACUGAUCUAAACCAGGAACUCCUCAUUCCCAGGCUACAGUUUUAAUCUCUGAACCAGUCUUUCAUCACGAUUUAACUUCUUGAACUGAGUCUUUGAAACUUGAUACACUAAGUACUGAAGAAACAAUGAGAUUUGUCAUGGUACAACUUCCUUUUGUGAAACACCCUAGAAAGAUAGGAUUUCUUCUUUCUUUAAUUUUAUACUUUAUAGUAGUUUUGAUAACAGUUUUCCUUUGUUUAAUUUAAGAUACUUGGUUCCUUUAUUAAUGAUGUAUUUAUUAGGAUAUUAUUUGCAGUGAACUUCAUGUUCUUCCCCAGCAAAUAGAACAAUUGCAGUAAUUUAGAGAAUUAAGCACAGGAAGAAAUAAUCUCCAUAUGCUGCCAGAUGGUAAGUUACUACUAUUCAUUUAUUUGAUGUAAGAAAUGAGGAAAACUGUUUAAAAAUAAUGGAUUAUUUAUUGUUGUUGUUGCUUCCCAUCAGUCAGGACAUGGUUUCCAGCUGGUUGGCUUGGGCACUGGAAAGCAGGAGCUGCACUGGUUCUCCAAAGGAGCUCUGAGAGGGCAUGACACAGGUCACAGAAGUACCCUUGAUGGUUUCUGGUUGUUUCCAGUGAUACAGGUGGAUCUGGCAGCCACCAGGCUGUAUUUUCUUUAUCUUCUGGAGCACAAUAACCUCUUUGAUGGGAAAUGCUCUUUACAGUAGACCAUAUUCCAGCAACCAAGACUUAUGAUGUGUCCAUAAAAGAAACAUAAAAGAAGCAGGAUGAUGUUGUGAUAUAUACUGGAAAUGUUUCCCUGGUGUAAACUGGUGUUGCUUCACUGUUUCAAGCAAAGUUAUUUUCUUUUACAAUGGACAAAUACAGAAUUGCUUGUACUUCUAUAAUACCAAGAAUCUCCAGACCCAAUGAUGUGGUUAAAUUUUGCCCAACCAGCACUGAAACUCAUGUUAAAAAUAAAAAAAUGCCAUGCUAGAUGGGUAAACUGCUA
Molecule: long non-coding RNA, 1476 nt
Filed under: Junco hyemalis (dark-eyed junco)
Lineage: Eukaryota; Metazoa; Chordata; Aves; Passeriformes; Passerellidae
Description: lncRNA (ENSJHYG00000014978.1)
Source: RNAcentral